This 255-nucleotide ribosomal RNA is filed under the name uncultured bacterium. RNAcentral's name for it is "partial 16S ribosomal RNA". It matches the Rfam family "Bacterial small subunit ribosomal RNA", at positions 1247 to 1500 of the family's 1533-position model. The record is from RNAcentral.
AAGCGAAGUAGAGAUAUGGAGCGAAACCCAAAAAAGACGGUCUCAGUUCGGAUUGAAGGCUGAAAUUCGCCUUUAUGAAGCCGGAAUUGCUAGUAAUGGCAGGUCAGCAUACUGCCGUGAAUACGUUCCCGGGCCUUGUACACACCGCCCGUCACACCAUGAGAGUUGGGAAUACCCGAAGCCUGUGAGCUAACUGUAAAGAGGCAGCAGUCGAAGGUAGAAUCAAUGAUUGGGGUGAAGUCGUAACAAGGUAAC